CACCUCUAGCAUUACCAGUAUUAGAGGCACUGCCUGCCCAGUGACAUUAGUUUAACGGCCGCGGUAUCCUGACCGUGCAAAGGUAGCAUAAUCAUUUGUUCCUUAAUUAGGGACUUGUAUGAAUGGCCCCACGAGGGUUUAACUGUCUCUUACUUUUAAUCAGUGAAAUUGACCUUCCCGUGAAGAGGCGGGAAUACAAAAAUAAGACGAGAAGACCCUAUGGAGCUUAAAUUAAAGUGUCCAACAAAAUUUAAACUUGAUCCAACAGGAAUAAUAACAUUUUAACUGGACAACAAAUUUUGGUUGGGGUGACCUCGGAGUAUAACAAAACCUCCGAGCGAUUAUAACCAAGACUUACCCGUCAAGGUGUCAUAAUUUAUUGAUCCAAUCAUAUUGAUCAACGAAACAAGUUACCCUAGGGAUAACAGCGCAAUCCUAUUUAAGAGUCCAUAUCGACAAUAGGGUUUACGACCUCGAUGUUGGAUCAGGACCCCCAAAUGGUGCAGCAGCUAUUAAAGGUUCGUUUGUUCAACG
RNAcentral lists this ribosomal RNA (534 nucleotides) under Crocidura obscurior. RNAcentral's name for it is "partial 16S ribosomal RNA". It matches the Rfam family "Bacterial large subunit ribosomal RNA", at positions 1816 to 2586 of the family's 2925-position model. Lineage: Eukaryota; Metazoa; Chordata; Mammalia; Eulipotyphla; Soricidae. The record is from RNAcentral.